CGCGAUGACGCUGGCGGCAGGCCUAACACAUGCAAGUCGAGCGGUAGAGAGAAGCUUGCUUCUCUUGAGAGCGGCGGACGGGUGAGUAAUACCUAGGAAUCUGCCUGGUAGUGGGGGAUAACGUUCGGAAACGGACGCUAAUACCGCAUACGUCCUACGGGAGAAAGCAGGGGACCUUCGGGCCUUGCGCUAUCAGAUGAGCCUAGGUCGGAUUAGCUUGUUGGUGAGGUAAUGGCUCACCAAGGCGACGAUCCGUAACUGGUCUGAGAGGAUGAUCAGUCACACUGGAACUGAGACACGGUCCAGACUCCUACGGGAGGCAGCAGUGGGGAAUAUUGGACAAUGGGCGAAAGCCUGAUCCAGCCAUGCCGCGUGUGUGAAGAAGGUCUUCGGAUUGUAAAGCACUUUAAGUUGGGAGGAAGGGCAUUAACCUAAUACGUUGGUGUCUUGACGUUACCGACAGAAUAAGCACCGGCUAACUCUGUGCCAGCAGCCGCGGUAAUACAGAGGGUGCAAGCGUUAAUCGGAAUUACUGGGCGUAAAGCGCGCGUAGGUGGUUCGUUAAGUUGGAUGUGAAAUCCCCGGGCUCAACCUGGGAACUGCAUUCAAAACUGACGAGCUAGAGUAUGGUAGAGGGUGGUGGAAUUUCCUGUGUAGCGGUGAAAUGCGUAGAUAUAGGAAGGAACACCAGUGGCGAAGGCGACCACCUGGACUGAUACUGACACUGAGGUGCGAAAGCGUGGGGAGCAAACAGGAUUAGAUACCCUGGUAGUCCACGCCGUAAACGAUGUCAACUAGCCGUUGGGAGCCUUGAGCUCUUAGUGGCGCAGCUAACGCAUUAAGUGACCGCCUGG
This 854-nucleotide ribosomal RNA is filed under the name Pseudomonas sp. RNAcentral describes it as "bacterial SSU rRNA". It matches the Rfam family "Bacterial small subunit ribosomal RNA", at positions 24 to 876 of the family's 1533-position model. The record is from RNAcentral. Lineage: Bacteria; Pseudomonadati; Pseudomonadota; Gammaproteobacteria; Pseudomonadales; Pseudomonadaceae.